This is a non-coding RNA of Myotis davidii, 73 nucleotides long. The record is from Rfam. Lineage: Eukaryota; Metazoa; Chordata; Mammalia; Chiroptera; Vespertilionidae.
GGCUGUUCUUGGGUGACACACCCCAGAAUCAAGCUUCUUCCUCUCUGGUUCCAGGUGUGACCUGAGAACCGCA